Molecule: ribosomal RNA, 253 nt
Filed under: uncultured bacterium
Lineage: Bacteria
Description: partial 16S ribosomal RNA
Rfam family: Bacterial small subunit ribosomal RNA
Source: RNAcentral
CACGGGGGGAGCAAGCGUUGUUCGGAAUCACUGGGCGUAAAGGGUCUGUAGGUGGCUUACUAAGUCAGACGUGAAAUCCCUCAGCUUAACUGGGGAACUGCGUCUGAUACUGGAAAGCUUGAGUGCAGGAGAGGAACGCGGAAUUCCAGGUGUAGCGGUGAAAUGCGUAGAUAUCUGGAGGAACACCGGUGGCGAAGGCGGCGUUCUGGACUGCAACUGACACUGAGAGACGAAAGCCAGGGGAGCAAACGGG